Salvelinus fontinalis (brook trout) is the source of this 3716-nucleotide long non-coding RNA. RefSeq lists it as uncharacterized. The transcript has 4 exons. Lineage: Eukaryota; Metazoa; Chordata; Actinopteri; Salmoniformes; Salmonidae. The record is from RefSeq and is a predicted model, not a curated record.
GUCACUUGCCACAGAUAAAAUGACGUCAAAUCACAUUAUAUGUACAGUAGCUUUGAUUGGACUGAUCAUGUCAGCAUUUUACUUUCAAAGUCUUAGCUAGCAGUCAUCAUCAUGAAUCAAGUUGACAAUCUACUGCCAAGUCCUUUUUAAUCCUUGACAUAUGAAGAGAAAUAAUGAAGAGAAAUUAUAGAUUAAAUGUAUCGGUGCUCAUCGGCCAUUGGACAUAAACAUUACACAACAAUUUGGAAAUCGCAAAUUCAACAAUGAUUCGUUUCGAGGGAAUCAGUGGCUAACUGCAAGCGUUGCAAAGAAACCACUACGUUAGCCUGGUAUUCAAUUGAGUGGCUGGGUGUUUUUUUUUCAGAGUUCCCACCAUAAAUCCAGAGAAUGCCAGACUUCGAUGACAAGAUUUGCCCACAAAGGACCGCUGCGCCACCUUCACAAGUAAACAAGUCCAAAGGCAUCCGGACCAACAGCAGAGGGAGUGCAGUGAUGCACUCCAGGGACCCAGAGAGAACCUCAGAAGUGAGAUGCUGCCUGCUGGGAGUGAGAGCACAGCAGGAAAAACACUCACAUGGAUCAGAUGAGAAUGUGAGGAUUGCAGCAUUGAGUGCUACACCCAAAGCACUGACUACCAGAGAGGUAGAGGAAGCCUCAGCCAAAGACCCAGAGCUGAGAGAGGCACUCUUUUGGGUAUGACUGUGGGCGCAAGGCAAACCUGCAGUUGUUGGAUGAGCGAGCGCUGACCAUCGUGGGUAGAAAACCUGCUUAUCUUCCUGGACAUCCGGACCAAGGAGCAAAACUACCUCCGCUCCUGCAGUGGGGAAGGCCCACUCCAGUAAGAGAUACUUUGCUGUGGCAGAGAAGGGAGACCAGCCCAACAUCGUCAUCUAUGAAUAUCCCUCACUUCAACCGUACCACAUUGUCAGAGGUAUGGGAACUACAACACACACACACAAACUAUUAGAUUUUUAUUUUUACAAUUUAUAAAGCAUAUGAUCAAUGAUCAAGACAUUUGGUCUGUGGACUUUAACCGUGAGGGCAUCCUGCUGGCCAGUGUGGGUAGUGCUCCGGACUACUUGCUGACACUGUGGGAGUGGAGAUGCUGCGUUGCAAGGCCUUCGUUCUCACAGGACGUCUAAGGGUCGCCUUCGCACCUGACAACGCCGGGCAACUCACCACCUCCGGAUCGGGACACAUGAAGUCAGUAGCAAUCAAUCAAUCAAAAUGUUUUCGUGUACUAGCACUUUUAUAAAUUUGUCAAAAGGUACUUUAUAGAACGCCAAAUCCCCCAAAGAGAAAACAUAUUUCAUCAUGAAAUAUGGACAAUAAAUACAUGAAUGGCUUAUUAUGUGUACAGAAUCGUACACCAUGUGAGUUGAACUCUUAUCAUCCAUUCUUCUAGGUUUUGGAAAAUGGCCAGCACUUUUACUGGUCUCAAACUGAAAGGCCUUCUGGAAAGGUUUAAGUAGACUACCCUUAAAGAUAUCGUGGGGAAGGUCUGUCCACUGCUCUUAUCAUUCAAUUCCUGCUAUUCCAUUGAAAAUGACCCAAACCCAAAGCAAUAUGCUCUUUUCCUGUUCUAUGUUGUCCCGAUCACAUCCCUUCUGUCUGUGUGCUAUUGGGUUCUGAGAAUAUGAAAUAUACUUACUCAUGUCACUGAGGGAAAGAGGGUAAUGUAUAACGUUUACGUUAUGUCAGAAUAUGUUAUUGUUAGCCAUCAGGGAUCCGAGAAGAGACAGUCUGGUACCAAUCUCCAUGAUGGCCAUGAGUUGGGGAGGAGUGAGCACUUUGGGGUAGAGGUCAGGUCAGAUGAAGUAAGGAAGAACAGAUAACCCUAAGGUUAUGUCUAGCAGCAGAGAUGCAUUGGCUGUUCAGAUGUGUAGGAGGAGACUCAACAUAGUUACAUAUCAGUGCUUGUGUGACUAUGUCAUCAUCUAAUGCAGCUGUAUUGAUCCUCUGGGAUGAAUUAACUCGGUUUUAGCUUUCAUAGUGUCCGUUGAGUUUUUACUCUGAGAAUUAGAACCUAACAGUGCCAAGUGGUGUCUGGGUCUGAGUGGGGGAACAUGCUAGUGUGGGACAGGGGUCUGAUCAAGGUGGAGAUAUGACAUAAGGGUGGAAGGACGUGCCACGCUGGCACCAUCCAGCAGUUUGUCCUGAACGAGGAGGAACUCAUGACCAUUGGCACUGACGGAGCCAUUAGAGUAACCUUUCAGAUAUAGUACAGUCCUCUCAGCCCCAGUCUAAGAGGUCUCUGCUAACCCUAAAAAGCCAGCCUGAACAACUGGUCUGUGGUCAGUUUUGCCUGCUGUGUAAUAUUUCUCCCUGAUGACGUCACUUCCUCCACCCUGUGCAGGGCUGAGACUUUGAGAGUAUUGACACGGCGGACUGUAACGAUGACACCAGUCUGUUUGAGAUCGAGCCCAUGAACGAGAUUGUGAUCGGACGCAACAUUAGCAUGUCCUCCAUGGUCAUGGGUAAUCCUGAAUGAAUCUUGAAUAAUGACGAAUGAGAAAGUUAGACACACAUAUCAUACCCCCCAAAAAAUGCUACCCCCCCUACAGUAUUUGUGUCUCCAACUUUCUCUCUGAUCAUUAUUCUCAAUUCAUUCAGGAUUACCAUAUUCAAUUAUUAUUCUUUUUUUUACAAUAUAAGUGACUCCAAAAUGACACAAUACAUUACUCACCAUUAAUUUCUAUUGGGCACAAAAUAAUCUGAAACACAACCAAAACAAACAGCAAAUGCAUCCAACAAACGUGCAGUCACAAGCUUGACGUAAUCAUUGCGUGCUAUGAAUAUGGGGCCAAAUACUUUAAUACACAUAAGUUAAUUUGUCCCAAUGCUUUUGGUCCCCUAAAAUGGCGGGACAACAGUAUGUACAAAAAGUGCAGUAAUUUCUAAACUGUUCACCUGAUAUGGAUGAAAAUACAGACCCAAAACAACAACAACAAAAUCACUGUUCCAAUACUUUUUGAGCUCACUGAGUUACAGUUGUCCGACUUAAAUUAUUAUUUUACCAUACAGUUAUGUAAUGCCUUGUUGCCUUUCACUAGGUCUCAAAGCGCUUUGCUUAUCUGUGUCAUGUACUGUUUUGAUAGUGUUUGCCCCUGCCUGUGUGUGUAGGUGAACCCUAGAGGAGGGACUGGUGGUUGUGAGCUUUCAGGACGGAGUGGUCUGUCUGCUGGGGCUCUACAACCCCCAGAUCUUAUGGGUGGUUGCCGGACGCAGUCGCUAUGGAGAAGCUGAGCUCCUUCUCAAACAGGCCUUCAUACCGCACAAUGCACCUGUGACGGCCAUCGCGUACGAACCCAACGGAGAGAUCCUGGCAACUGGGUAUUCGGACUAGCGAGUGCCACUGACUGUUGACCAAUGUGAAAUCAAUCAUUAGCUCCCAUCUAGACAAUCCACUUGUAGAUCAAAAACCAACUGGAUGGGUAUAAUAACUGUGGUGUAUUGAGAAAUGUAUUAUGUGUUAAUGAGUUUAGAUUUAAAAUGGUUGCAAAUAGCCAAUGGGAUUUGUAUGCAGGGGUUCAGUUAUUUGAAUUGACAAAUGACAAUUGGGUUUCGGUUCUUUCAUUUAAGUGAUUGGAUUUCGAGAUGCAAGGGCGGCAAAAGUUCAAUGAUGUAUGGAAGAGUUGGGCUGAAGAUACUGUAGAGUGUAGUCGACUGUAAUGUGUUAAGGAGAACAUUAAAUAAAUAUGUCCUGGUUAUUAUAA